GAUGAACGCUGGCGGCGUGCCUAAUACAUGCAAGUAGAACGCUGAAGCUUGGUGCUUGCACCGAGCGGAUGAGUUGCGAACGGGUGAGUAACGCGUAGGUAACCUGCCUCUUAGCGGGGGAUAACUAUUGGAAACGAUAGCUAAUACCGCAUAAAAGUCGAUAUCGCAUGAUAUUGAUUUGAAAGGUGCAAUUGCAUCACUAAGAGAUGGACCUGCGUUGUAUUAGCUAGUUGGUGAGGUAACGGCUCACCAAGGCGACGAUACAUAGCCGACCUGAGAGGGUGAUCGGCCACACUGGGACUGAGACACGGCCCAGACUCCUACGGGAGGCAGCAGUAGGGAAUCUUCGGCAAUGGGGGCAACCCUGACCGAGCAACGCCGCGUGAGUGAAGAAGGUUUUCGGAUCGUAAAGCUCUGUUGUAAGAGAAGAACGAGUGUGAGAGUGGAAAGUUCACACUGGACG
RNAcentral lists this ribosomal RNA (463 nucleotides) under Streptococcus parasanguinis. RNAcentral's name for it is "bacterial SSU rRNA". It matches the Rfam family "Bacterial small subunit ribosomal RNA", at positions 28 to 474 of the family's 1533-position model. The record is from RNAcentral. Lineage: Bacteria; Bacillati; Bacillota; Bacilli; Lactobacillales; Streptococcaceae.